UACAGAGGUCCCAAGCGUUGUUCGGAUUCACUGGGCGUAAAGGGUGCGUAGGCGGUCGGGUAAGUCUGAUGUGAAAUCCCCGAGCUCAACUUGGGAAUUGCAGUGGAUACUGGCAAGCUGGAGUACGGUAGAGGAAGGUGGAAUUCCCGGUGUAGCAGUGAAAUGCGUAGAGAUCGGGAGGAACACCAGUGGCGAAGGCGGCCUUCUGGACCAGUACUGACGCUCAUGCACGAAAGCGUGGGGAGCAAACAGG
Molecule: ribosomal RNA, 253 nt
Filed under: uncultured bacterium
Lineage: Bacteria
Description: partial 16S ribosomal RNA
Rfam family: Bacterial small subunit ribosomal RNA
Source: RNAcentral